AGGGCGGGACACGUGAUAUCCUGUCUGAAUAUGGGGGGACCAUCCUCCAAGGCUAAAUACUACUGACUGACCGAUAGUGAACCAGUACCGUGAGGGAAAGGCGAAAAGAACCCCUGUGAGGGGAGUGAAAUAGAACCUGAAACCGUGUACGUACAAGCAGUAGGAGCAGGCUUUGUCCUGUGACUGCGUACCUUUUGUAUAAUGGGUCAGCGACUUAUAUUCAGUGGCAAGGUUAACCAUCUAGGGGAGCCGUAGGGAAACCGAGUCUUAACUGGGCGUUCAGUCUCUGGAUAUAGACCCGAAACCAGGUGAUCUAGCCAUGGGCAGGUUGAAGGUUGAGUAACAUCAACUGGAGGACCGAACCGACUAAUGUUGAAAAAUUAGCGGAUGACUUGUGGCUAGGGGUGAAAGGCCAAUCAAACCUGGAGAUAGCUGGUUCUCCCCGAAAGCUAUUUAGGUAGCGCCUCGGACGAAUACUACUGGGGGUAGAGCACUGUUAAGGCUAGGGGGUCAUCCCGACUUACCAACCCUUUGCAAACUCCGAAUACCAGUAAGUACUAUCCGGGAGACACACGGCGGGUGCUAACGUCCGU
This 593-nucleotide ribosomal RNA is filed under the name Vibrio parahaemolyticus. RNAcentral describes it as "partial 23S ribosomal RNA". It matches the Rfam family "Bacterial large subunit ribosomal RNA", at positions 414 to 1008 of the family's 2925-position model. The record is from RNAcentral. Lineage: Bacteria; Pseudomonadati; Pseudomonadota; Gammaproteobacteria; Vibrionales; Vibrionaceae.